This 508-nucleotide ribosomal RNA is filed under the name uncultured bacterium. Its description in RNAcentral is "bacterial SSU rRNA". It matches the Rfam family "Bacterial small subunit ribosomal RNA", at positions 15 to 518 of the family's 1533-position model. The record is from RNAcentral.
GAUCAUGGCUCAGGAUGAACGCUAGCGGCAGGCUUAACACAUGCAAGUCGAGGGGCAUCGGGAGUAGCAAUACUUGCCGGCGACCGGCGCAAGGGUGCGUAACGCGUGAGCAACAUGCCCGUAUCAGGGGGAUAAUCCAUGGAAACGUGGUCUAAUACCCCAUAGUAAUUAUGUAAGGCAUCUUAUAUAAUUUAAAGCUUUGGUGGAUACGGAUUGGCUCGCGUGACAUUAGCUAGGAUGGUAAGGUAACGGCUUACCAUGGCUACGAUGUCUAGGGGUUCUGAGAGGAAGGCCCCCACACUGGAACUGAGACACGGUCCAGACUCCUACGGGAGGCAGCAGUGAGGAAUAUUGGACAAUGGAUGGAAAUCUGAUCCAGCCAUGCCGCGUGCAGGAAGACGGCCCUAUGGGUUGUAAACUGCUUUUGUAUGGGAGCAAUAAGGGCUACGCGUAGUCCGAUGAGAGUACCAUACGAAUAAGCACCGGCUAACUCCGUGCCAGCCGCGGC